Molecule: ribosomal RNA, 517 nt
Filed under: Streptococcus sanguinis
Lineage: Bacteria; Bacillati; Bacillota; Bacilli; Lactobacillales; Streptococcaceae
Description: bacterial SSU rRNA
Rfam family: Bacterial small subunit ribosomal RNA
Source: RNAcentral
UUUAAUGAGAGUUUGAUCCUGGCUCAGGACGAACGCUGGCGGCGUGCCUAAUACAUGCAAGUAGAACGCUGAAGAGAGGAGCUUGCUCUUCUUGGAUGAGUUGCGAACGGGUGAGUAACGCGUAGGUAACCUGCCUGGUAGCGGGGGAUAACUAUUGGAAACGAUAGCUAAUACCGCAUGAAAUUGAAUAUCGCAUGAUACUUAAUUGAAAGAUGCAACUGCAUCACUACCAGAUGGACCUGCGUUGUAUUAGCUAGUUGGUGAGGUAACGGCUCACCAAGGCGACGAUACAUAGCCGACCUGAGAGGGUGAUCGGCCACACUGGGACUGAGACACGGCCCAGACUCCUACGGGAGGCAGCAGUAGGGAAUCUUCGGCAAUGGGGGGAACCCUGACCGAGCAACGCCGCGUGAGUGAAGAAGGUUUUCGGAUCGUAAAGCUCUGUUGUAAGAGAAGAACGGGUGUGAGAGUGGAAAGUUCACACUGUGACGGUAUCUUACCAGAAAGGGACGGCUAA